UCCUGGUUAACCCAGGCAGUCUCGUUAUAGUUCCCAGCUUCACCUGUUGGCAAAUAACAAUAAGGGUUGCGCUCGUUGCGGGACUUAACCCAACACCUCACGGCACGAGCUGACGACAGCCAUGCAGCACCUGUGCAAAGGCCCCGAAGGGCGUUAACAUCUCUGAUAACUUCCUCUGCAUGUCAAGCCUGGGUAAGGUUCUUCGCGUUGCAUCGAAUUAAACCACAUGCUCCACUGCUUGUGCGGGUCCCCGUCAAUUCUUUUGAGUUUCACCCUUGCGAGCGUACUCCCCAGGCGGUAUACUUAUCGCGUUAGCUUCGACACAACCAGGGUUGAGCCCAGUUACAUCAAGUAUACAUCGUUUACGGCAAGGACUAC
This 378-nucleotide unclassified non-coding RNA is filed under the name uncultured Parachlamydiaceae bacterium. RNAcentral's name for it is "contains 16S-23S intergenic spacer region". The record is from RNAcentral. Lineage: Bacteria; Pseudomonadati; Chlamydiota; Chlamydiia; Parachlamydiales; Parachlamydiaceae.